UUCGCCCUUUUCCGGUUGAUCCCGCCGGACCUGACUGCUAUCGGAUUGAUACUAAGCCAUGCGAGUCAUUGUAGCAAUACAAGGCAUACGGCUCAGUAACGCGUAGUCAACCUAACCUAUGGACGGAAAUAACCUCGGGAAACUGAGAAUAAUGUCCGAUAGAACACUAUACCUGGAAUGGUUUGUGUUCCAAAUGAUUUAUCGCCGUAGGAUGGGACUGCGGCCUAUCAGUUUGUUGGUGAGGUAAUGGCCCACCAAGACUAUUACAGGUACGGGCUCUGAGGGGAGUAGCCCGGAUAUGGGUACUGAGACACGGACCCAGGCCCUAUGGGGCGCAGCAGGCGAGAAAACUUUGCAAUGUGCGAAAGCACGACAAAGGUUAAAUCCGAGUGAUUUGUGCUAAACGAAUUCUUUUGUUAGUCAUAGAACCACUAACGAAUAAGGCGUGGGCAAGUUCUGGUGUCAGCCGCCGCGUUAAAA
Molecule: ribosomal RNA, 480 nt
Filed under: uncultured archaeon
Lineage: Archaea
Description: bacterial SSU rRNA
Rfam family: Archaeal small subunit ribosomal RNA
Source: RNAcentral